This is a non-coding RNA of Chiloscyllium plagiosum (whitespotted bambooshark), 153 nucleotides long. The record is from RefSeq and is a predicted model, not a curated record. NCBI's taxonomy places the organism in Eukaryota, Metazoa, Chordata, Chondrichthyes, Orectolobiformes, Hemiscylliidae.
CAAGAUUAAUACCAGAAGUAGAAAGCACAGGAGCAGGCAGACUGUUUCAAUUGAAGAAGAGCAGCAGAUCAAUUAAACCUCCGAUCUAAUGGAAGCCAGCAAAGAACAACCAACAACAUCAAUUAUAUUCAUCCUCAGAGACUUAACUGCUCC